CAUGCAAGUCGAGCGAUGAAGUUCCUUCGGGAAAUGGAUUAGCGGCGGACGGUGAGUAACACGUGGGUAACCUGCCUCAUAGUGGGGAAUAGCCUUUCGAAAGGAAGAUUAAUACCGCAUAAGAUUGUAGUUUCGCAUGAAACAGCAAUUAAAGGAGCAAUUCGCUAUGAGAUGGACCCGCGGCGCAUUAGCUAGUUGGUCGAGGUAACGGCUCACCAAGGGCCACGAUGCGUAGCCGACCUGAGAGGGUGAUCGGCCACAUUGGGGACUGAGACACGGGCCCAGACUCCUACGGGAGGCAGCAGUGGGGAAUAUUGCACAAUGGGGGAAACCCUGAUGCAGCGAUGCCGCGUGGAGGAAGAAGGCCUUCGGGUUGUAAACUUCUUUUACCAGGGACGAAGAACGUGACGGUACCUGGAGAAAAAGCAACGGCUAACUACGUG
RNAcentral lists this ribosomal RNA (443 nucleotides) under uncultured bacterium. RNAcentral's name for it is "bacterial SSU rRNA". It matches the Rfam family "Bacterial small subunit ribosomal RNA", at positions 54 to 507 of the family's 1533-position model. The record is from RNAcentral.